AGUGAACGCUGGCGGUAGGCCUAACACAUGCAAGUCGAACGGCAGCACAGUAAGAGCUUGCUCUUACGGGUGGCGAGUGGCGGACGGGUGAGGAAUACAUCGGAAUCUACUUUUUCGUGGGGGAUAACGUAGGGAAACUUACGCUAAUACCGCAUACGACCUACGGGUGAAAGCAGGGGAUCUUCGGACCUUGCGCGAUUGAAUGAGCCGAUGUCGGAUUAGCUAGUUGGCGGGGUAAGGGCCCACCAAGGCGACGAUCCGUAGCUGGUCUGAGAGGAUGAUCAGCCACACUGGAACUGAGACACGGUCCAGACUCCUACGGGAGGCAGCAGUGGGGAAUAUUGGACAAUGGGCGCAAGCCUGAACCAGCCAUACCGCGUGGGUGAAGAAGGCCUUCGGGUUGUAAAGCCCUUUUGUUGGGAAAGAAAAGCAGCAGGUUAAUACCCCGCUGUUCUGACGGUACCCAAAGAAUAAGCACCGGCUAACUUCGU
This 491-nucleotide ribosomal RNA is filed under the name uncultured bacterium. RNAcentral describes it as "partial 16S ribosomal RNA". It matches the Rfam family "Bacterial small subunit ribosomal RNA", at positions 29 to 506 of the family's 1533-position model. The record is from RNAcentral.